GGAUCUGAUCCAUGCAAUGUACAUGCAACUAAAAAGUUUCAUUUUUUGCAUCGCGCAACAUUUUUUUGCAUUGCACAAAAUUGUUUGACACCCGCCCCCUCUGCAGUUUCCUGUACGGGAUGAGUGGGAGGACGAGCCUUGUUGCGGAGGGAAAUGGCCUUAGUUGAACUGGGUGAGAGAAGGACAACAAGCUCUUUCCCACCCCCGACCAACGCCGAGCAAAAACAAAAGGACGGCGAAGAGACACACCCCCCCCCCCAGGUAUCCCCGCUUCAAAAUGGGAUUUUGAUGAUAGGCUCUUCUUGACACCCCUCACCCAGCAGAAUGAUGAUGGAGACGCUCCUUCAGGCAAAGGACAGGAGAAAAAGUUGUCAUCAGAAACAGGCAAGCAGAAACCAGGAAAAGAGGCGUCCGGGAAUAGAAAGGGACUGAUAAGGACAGAGAGAAACAAGUCAGAGAAGAAAUCAUGUACUCUUCAGGGUCCUGAUACUUAUGAACGCUCAAUCCCACAGAAAAACAACAAAGGGAAAGAAAAGGGUAUCUUCAGGAGAGGAAAAGGCUACACAAAUCCAGAGUGGAGUUUGUAAGAUGAUGCCUCGCAUGUUUUCUUCCAGAAACUCCUGCAGCCAAGCUGGUGCCAAACAUCUUCUCUGACUGUCUUGCCAGAGUGGUGCAUGCUCU
This is a non-coding RNA of Podarcis muralis (Common wall lizard), 681 nucleotides long. The record is from RefSeq and is a predicted model, not a curated record. NCBI's taxonomy places the organism in Eukaryota, Metazoa, Chordata, Lepidosauria, Squamata, Lacertidae.